AACGCACGAGACCUGCGGACCUGCGGAAGGAUCAUUAAUGAGAAGCUGCCCCUCGUGGGUAGACCUCCCACCCUCUGUGAACUUACCUUUGUUGCUUUGGCAGGCCCGUCCUCUGGACCGCCGGCUUCGGCUGGCCCGUGCCUGCCAGAGGAUUCCAAACCCUGUCUGUCAGUGUUGUCUGAGUCUAUAUGAAAUCGUUAAAACUUUCAUCAAUGGAUCUCUAGAUCGGAAGAGCACACG
This 240-nucleotide unclassified non-coding RNA is filed under the name soil metagenome. RNAcentral describes it as "partial contains 5.8S ribosomal RNA, internal transcribed spacer 2, and large subunit ribosomal RNA". The record is from RNAcentral.